This 406-nucleotide ribosomal RNA is filed under the name uncultured bacterium. RNAcentral describes it as "partial 16S ribosomal RNA". It matches the Rfam family "Bacterial small subunit ribosomal RNA", at positions 29 to 526 of the family's 1533-position model. The record is from RNAcentral.
AUUGAACGCUGGCGGCAGGCCUAACACAUGCAAGUCGAACGAGUGGCGGACGGGUGAGUAAUGUCUGGGAAACUGCCUGAUGGCGGGGGAUAACCACUGGAAAUGGUAGCUAAUACCGCAUACCAUCAGAUGUGCCCAGAUGGGAUUAGCUUGUUGGUGGGGUAACGGCUCACCAAGGCGACGAUCCCUAGCUGGUCUGAGAGGAUGACCAGCCACACUGGAACUGAGACACGGUCCAGACUCCUACGGGAGGCAGCAGUGGGGAAUAUUGCACAAUGGGCGAAAGCCUGAUGCAGCCAGGCCGCGUGUAUGAAGAAGGCCUUCGGGUUGUAAAGUACUGUCAGCGGGGAGGCGUGACCCGCAGAAGAAGCACCGGCUAACGCCGGGCCAGCGGCCGCGGUAAUUC